CCUACGGGUGGCAGCAGUGAGGAAUAUUGGUCAAUGGACGAGAGUCUGAACCAGCCAAGUAGCGUGAAGGAUGACUGCCCUAUGGGUUGUAAACUUCUUUUAUAAAGGAAUAAAACGAGGCACGUGUGCCUUUUUGCAUGUACUUUAUGAAUAAGGAUCGGCUAACUCCGUGCCAGCAGCCGCGGUAAUACGGAGGAUCCGAGCGUUAUCCGGAUUUAUUGGGUUUAAAGGGAGCGUAGAUGGGUUGUUAAGUCAGUUGUGAAAGUUUGCGGCUCAACCGUAAAAUUGCAAUUGAUACUGGCAGUCGUGAGUACAGUUGAGGUAGGCGGAAUUCGUGGUGUAGCGGUGAAAUGCUUAGAUAUCACGAAGAACCCUGAUUGCGAAGGCAGCUUACUAAACUGUGACUGACAUUGAUGCUCGAAAGUGUGGGUAUCAAACAGGAUUAGAUACCCCGGUAGUC
This 460-nucleotide ribosomal RNA is filed under the name uncultured bacterium. RNAcentral's name for it is "partial 16S ribosomal RNA". It matches the Rfam family "Bacterial small subunit ribosomal RNA", at positions 338 to 795 of the family's 1533-position model. The record is from RNAcentral.